CAUUGACAGGCCCUGUCUGAAAGCUGGUGGGUACUAAAUCAUCACAUGCGUUUAAACCUCUUCUCAUUUCUUAUGCACUUUUAUAUCAGCAUAAUUUUUAAAAAUGUAUUUGAAUUACUUUUCAGUCAACAAAAACAACGGUUAUUUUUCAUGUAAAGGACAAAUGGGACUUAAAAGAGCCAGGACUGCCUAGCCUGGGGGAGGGGAAGGUGCUGGCCUUGUCCAGUGGCAUUUAAAAGCUCCUUUGGGGUGGUGGAGAACAUAAAUGUGAGAGCAAAUUCCAUCUGUCUUUAGUUGCGGAGCUGAAUAAAAAUGAGAAACGGGUUCCUAUUGCCUAAAUUG
RNAcentral lists this long non-coding RNA (342 nucleotides) under Bos taurus (domestic cattle). RNAcentral describes it as "long non-coding RNA NONBTAT010838". The record is from RNAcentral. Lineage: Eukaryota; Metazoa; Chordata; Mammalia; Artiodactyla; Bovidae.